RNAcentral lists this ribosomal RNA (468 nucleotides) under uncultured bacterium. RNAcentral's name for it is "partial 16S ribosomal RNA". It matches the Rfam family "Bacterial small subunit ribosomal RNA", at positions 28 to 507 of the family's 1533-position model. The record is from RNAcentral.
GACGAACGCUGGCGGCGUGCUUAAUACAUGCAAGUCGAACGGAAAGGCGCGGCUCUUGCUGGGUGCUCGAGAGGCGAACGGGUGAGUAUCACGCGAGUAAAAUGUACCUGACUUUGGGAUAACACCAGGAAACACGGGCGCAUACAGGAUAGAAGAUCCUGCUGCGCGGGGGGGGAUAGAAAGAGUCGGCCGUUGUGGCUGGACUCGCAGCUUAUCAGCCAGAUGGUGGGGUAGUGGCUUACAAAGGCUUUGAAGGAUAGCCGGCCUGGGAGGUGGACCGGCCACCUGAGUCCUGCGAUACGGCCCAGAAUCCUAUGGUCCGCAGCAGUGGGGAAUAUUGCAGAAUGGGCCGAAGCCAGAUGCAGCGACGCCGCGUGCGUGAUGACGUCCUACGAGUUGUAAACCGCUUUCGCCGUUGACGUGGCGUGCGUGACGGUAACUGGUAAGGAAGCCCCGGCUAACUACGUG